GACGUUAGCGACAGAAGAAGCACCGGCUAACUCCGUGCCAGCAGCCGCGGUAAUACGGAGGGUGCGAGCGUUAAUCGGAAUUACUGGGCGUAAAGCGCAUGCAGGUGGUUUGUUAAGUCAGAUGUGAAAGCCCGGGGCUCAACCUCGGAAUAGCAUUUGAAACUGGCAGACUAGAGUACUGUAGAGGGGGGUAGAAUUUCAGGUGUAGCGGUGAAAUGCGUAGAGAUCUGAAGGAAUACCGGUGGCGAAGGCGGCCCCCUGGACAGAUACUGACACUCAGAUGCGAAAGCGUGGGGAGCAAACAGGAUUAGAUACCCUGGUAGUCCACGCCGUAAACGAUGUCUACUUGGAGGUUGUGGCCUUGAGCCGUGGCUUUCGGAGCUAACGCGUUAAGUAGACCGCCUGGGGAGUACGGUCGCAAGAUUAAAACUCAAAUGAAUUGACGGGGGCCCGCACAAGCGGUGGAGCAUGUGGUUUAAUUCGAUGCAACGCGAAGAACCUUACCUACUCUUGACAUCCAGAGAACUUUCCAGAGAUGGAUUGGUGCCUUCGGGAACUCUGAGACAGGUGC
This 571-nucleotide ribosomal RNA is filed under the name Vibrio sp. RNAcentral's name for it is "bacterial SSU rRNA". It matches the Rfam family "Bacterial small subunit ribosomal RNA", at positions 471 to 1041 of the family's 1533-position model. The record is from RNAcentral. Lineage: Bacteria; Pseudomonadati; Pseudomonadota; Gammaproteobacteria; Vibrionales; Vibrionaceae.